This 449-nucleotide ribosomal RNA is filed under the name uncultured bacterium. RNAcentral's name for it is "partial 16S ribosomal RNA". It matches the Rfam family "Bacterial small subunit ribosomal RNA", at positions 354 to 796 of the family's 1533-position model. The record is from RNAcentral.
GUGGGGAAUUUUGGACAAUGGGCGCAAGCCUGAUCCAGCAAUGUCGCGUGCAGGAAGAAGGCCUUCGGGUUGUAACUGCUUUUGUACGGAACGAAACGGUCCGGGUUAAUACCCUGGGCUAAUGACGGUACCGUAAGAAUAAGCACCGGCUAACUACGUGCCAGCAGCCGCGGUAAUACGUAGGGUGCAAGCGUUAAUCGGAAUUACUGGGCGUAAAGCGUGCGCAGGCGGUUUUGUAAGACAGGCGUGAAAUCCCCGGGCUCAACCUGGGAAUUGCGCUUGUGACUGCAAGGCUGGAGUGCGGCAGAGGGGGAUGGAAUUCCGCGUGUAGCAGUGAAAUGCGUAGAUAUGCGGAGGAACACCGAUGGCGAAGGCAAUCCCCUGGGCCUGCACUGACGCUCAUGCACGAAAGCGUGGGGAGCAAACAGGAUUAGAUACCCUAGUAGUCC